UCUGUGGAAGGCAAGCAUACGGAACUCCGUCUGGUAUUUCUUCCUGGAAAGAAACCUACUCUCAGAAAACCCAUUGAAGUCCCUGUUUUACAACUAACAUAAUGGGCGUGUGGAAAUGCCUCUCCAUCCACCAGGGGGCAGAAACGAACCCUUUGAUUGGCCAGAGAUCUUUGGACUUCAACUUUGAUUUGGAAUAGUUGUAAUUUGCAUAGCCUUUUCACUCUCAGACAUCACUCUUUCUGUCACUAGGAACAUAACCAUAUAGACUUUUCAAAGAAACCUCUUAAUUCUGUGUGAAACUCUAAACUUCACUCUACCAAUAAACUUCCCCACAUUCACACUAGAGAGAUGUGAUGGGAAUGCUGGGUCUUACAUAUGGUGGUCUUCAUAUUUUCGUGGAUUUGUCUUUUGAGGCAUGGAGUGCCUGACCUUUGCGUAUGCAAGAUUCGCUAGCAUGUAAACUCUGUCACUGUCUCCCAAGAACACAGAAACA
RNAcentral lists this long non-coding RNA (493 nucleotides) under Homo sapiens (human). RNAcentral's name for it is "HSALNT0036901". Lineage: Eukaryota; Metazoa; Chordata; Mammalia; Primates; Hominidae. The record is from RNAcentral.